Molecule: ribosomal RNA, 1398 nt
Filed under: metagenome
Description: bacterial SSU rRNA
Rfam family: Bacterial small subunit ribosomal RNA
Source: RNAcentral
UAUGCAAGUCGAACGAGCCUUCGGGCUAGUGGCGGACGGGUGAGUAACGCGUGAGAAUCUGCCCUCAGGAGGGGGAUAACGGCUGGAAACGGCCGCUAAUACCCCAUAUGCCGCGAGGUGAAACUAGUUUUCGCCUGAGGAUGAGCUCGCGUCUGAUUAGCUAGUUGGUGGGGUAAGAGCCUACCAAGGCAUCGAUCAGUAGCUGGUCUGAGAGGAUGAUCAGCCACACUGGGACUGAGACACGGCCCAGACUCCUACGGGAGGCAGCAGUGGGGAAUUUUCCGCAAUGGGCGCAAGCCUGACGGAGCAACGCCGCGUGAGGGAUGAAGGCCUCUGGGCUGUAAACCUCUUUUCUCAAGGAAGAAGAACUGACGGUACUUGAGGAAUAAGCCACGGCUAAUUCCGUGCCAGCAGCCGCGGUAAUACGGGAGUGGCAAGCGUUAUCCGGAAUUAUUGGGCGUAAAGCGUCCGCAGGCGGUCUUGAAAGUCUGUUGUUAAAGCGUGGAGCUCAACUCCAUUUCAGCAAUGGAAACUAGAAGACUAGAGUGUGGUAGGGGCAGAGGGAAUUCCCGGUGUAGCGGUGAAAUGCGUAGAUAUCGGGAAGAACACCAGUGGCGAAGGCGCUCUGCUGGGCCAUAACUGACGCUCAUGGACGAAAGCCAGGGGAGCGAAAGGGAUUAGAUACCCCUGUAGUCCUGGCCGUAAACGAUGAACACUAGGUGUCGGGGGAAUCGACCCCCUCGGUGUCGUAGCUAACGCGUUAAGUGUUCCGCCUGGGGAGUACGCACGCAAGUGUGAAACUCAAAGGAAUUGACGGGGGCCCGCACAAGCGGUGGAGUAUGUGGUUUAAUUCGAUGCAACGCGAAGAACCUUACCAGGGUUUGACAUCCUGCGAAUCUUUUGGAAACAGAAGAGUGCCUUCGGGAGCGCAGAGACAGGUGGUGCAUGGCUGUCGUCAGCUCGUGUCGUGAGAUGUUGGGUUAAGUCCCGCAACGAGCGCAACCCACGUCUAUAGUCGCCAGCAUUAAGUUGGGCACUCUAGAGAGACCGCCGGUGAUAAACCGGAGGAAGGUGUGGAUGACGUCAAGUCAUCAUGCCCCUUACAUCCUGGGCUUCACACGUACUACAAUGCUACGGACAAAGGGCAGCAAACUCGCGAGAGCUAGCAAAUCCCAUAAACCGUGGCUCAGUUCAGAUCGUAGGCUGCAACUCGCCUACGUGAAGGAGGAAUCGCUAGUAAUCGCAGGUCAGCAUACUGCGGUGAAUACGUUCCCGGGCCUUGUACACACCGCCCGUCACACCAUGGAAGUUGGCCAUGCCCGAAGUCGUUACUCCAACCCUUGUGGAGGAGGACGCCGAAGGUGGGGCUGAUGACUGGGGUGAAGUCGUAACAAGGUA